RNAcentral lists this ribosomal RNA (484 nucleotides) under uncultured bacterium. RNAcentral's name for it is "partial 16S ribosomal RNA". It matches the Rfam family "Bacterial small subunit ribosomal RNA", at positions 30 to 507 of the family's 1533-position model. The record is from RNAcentral.
AUUGAACGCUAGCGGGAUGCCUUACACAUGCAAGUCGAACGGCAGCACGGACUUCGGUCUGGUGGCGAGUGGCGAACGGGUGAGUAAUGUAUCGGAACGUGCCCAGUAGCGGGGGAUAACUACGCGAAAGCGUAGCUAAUACCGCAUACGCCCUACGGGGGAAAGCAAGGGAUCGCAAGAACUUGCACUAUUGGAACCGCCGAUAUCGGAUUAGCUAGUUGGUGGGGUAACGGCUCACCAAGGCGACGAUCCGUAGCUGGUUUGAGAGGACGACCAGCCACACUGGGACUGAGACACGGCCCAGACUCCUACGGGAGGCAGCAGUGGGGAAUUUUGGACAAUGGGGGAAACCCUGAUCCAGCCAUCCCGCGUGUGCGAUGAAGGCCUUCGGGUUGUAAAGCACUUUUGGCAGGAAAGAAACGUCGCGGGUUAAUACCUCGCGAAACUGACGGUACCUGCAGAAUAAGCACCGGCUAACUACGUG